Molecule: long non-coding RNA, 990 nt
Organism: Pogona vitticeps (central bearded dragon)
Lineage: Eukaryota; Metazoa; Chordata; Lepidosauria; Squamata; Agamidae
Source: RefSeq, a predicted model, not a curated record
UCUAGCAGCAACAACAGUAGCAGCAGCAAAAGAAAACAAAGAAAACAUGGAUUUUCCUCCAAAGAUUCAAACUGAUUUGGCUGGGGACACAUUUGCCAGAGAACAGCAUUCCACAUUGAAAAUGACUGCAAUAUAAGACAGGAAUAAGACUUUGUCAUUCAUACUGAUGUACAUCAGCAUUUUAAUUCUGCUCCUGCCGGAGGGGAGAUACCGUCAUGGCCACUCUGACAUUGGAGGCAGCUGCUCUAAACAACAUUGAUGUGCUUAAUCCAAACCAGACUCUAAGGCUUUUGAAUCAAGAAGUUAUUUCCCUUCCUGCACUCUCGCCCCUCCCCAUCCAUUUUACUGUGAAUGAUCAGCUGUAACAAUCUGUACUCUUGUACUUGCUGUGUCUUGUUAUGUGGCCAAAAUAUUCUAGCUUCCUGCCUUUUAUGUGUUCCAUGAUUUCUUUUUUGGCCAUAUUCCAACUCAGAAAGCUUUGGCGGUUGCAUCCCUGCAAGGGGUGAGGAUAAGCAAUACAGGAGGAGCUGCGACUUGAACUAGGAAUUUUGCUAGCUUAUUGUGCAGCAUCUCUCGAAGCAGGACAUAUCCAGUUCAGGCUCCUGCAUGGCUGCUUGUGGCUGGGAUGGGGAAUGACUCUAGCUUGCUGAAAGUCCACUUGGUGUUUCUGACUCUGGCCAGAGAUAGAUGCUCACAGAAAGGUCUGGCUUUGAUCUUCUGCAUUGGCAACAGUCGUGGGGGAAUUCCCUUUCAGAGAUGUACUUUGGACUGCUGCCAGGAACACCAACCAGCUCCAGGAACACUGUAAGUGCUUGUGCUGGACUCUGCCUUACCUGCUGUGAUGCUAAACUGAGAUCCUGCCUCAUUCUGUCAGCUAAAGCUCUGUAAAAUGAUGCACAGAUAAGUAUCACUUUUUUAUUAUUAUGAAAUCACAAGUUAUGGUUUCCACAUUCCUGUUCUUUAGUUGUAGCCUCCAUUUUAGAUGGUUGG